Molecule: ribosomal RNA, 901 nt
Filed under: Papulaspora equi
Lineage: Eukaryota; Fungi; Ascomycota; Sordariomycetes; Sordariales
Description: LSU rRNA
Rfam family: Eukaryotic large subunit ribosomal RNA
Source: RNAcentral
UUAAGCAUAUCAAUAAGCGGAGGAAAAGAAACCAACAGGGAUUGCCCCAGUAACGGCGAGUGAAGCGGCAACAGCUCAAAUUUGAAAUCUGGCCUCGGCCCGAGUUGUAAUUUGCAGAGGAUGCUUCUGGCGAGGCACCGACCGAGUCCCCUGGAACGGGGCGCCAUAGAGGGUGAGAGCCCCGUAUGGUCGGACGCUUAGCCUGUGUGAAGCUCCUUCGACGAGUCGAGUAGUUUGGGAAUGCUGCUCAAAAUGGGAGGUAAAUUUCUUCUAAAGCUAAAUACCGGCCAGAGACCGAUAGCGCACAAGUAGAGUGAUCGAAAGAUGAAAAGCACUUUGAAAAGAGGGUUAAAUAGCACGUGAAAUUGUUGAAAGGGAAGCGCUUGUGACCAGACUUGCGCCUGGCCGAUCAUCCGGGGUUCUCCCCGGUGCACUCGGCCAGGCUCAGGCCAGCAUCGGUUCUCUCGGGGGGACAAAGGCUCCGGGAACGUAGCUCCCUCCGGGGAGUGUUAUAGCCCGGGGCGUAAUGCCCUCGAGGGGACCGAGGACCGCGCUUCGGCAAGGAUGCUGGCGUUACGGUCAUCAGCGACCCGUCUUGAAACACGGACCAAGGAGUCAAGGUUUUGCGCGAGUGUUUGGGUGUAAAACCCGCACGCGUAAUGAAAGUAAACGUAGGUGAGAGCUUCGGCGCAUCAUCGACCGGCCCAGAUGUUCUCGGAAGGGCCUGAGUAGGAGCGUUAAGCCUUGGACCCGAAAGAUGGUGAACUAUGCUUGGAUAGGGUGAAGCCAGAGGAAACUCUGGUGGAGGCUCGCAGCGGUUCUGACGUGCAAAUCGAUCGUCAAAUCUGAGCAUGGGGGCGAAAGACUAAUCGAACCAUCUAGUAGCUGGUUACCGCCGAAG